Molecule: non-coding RNA, 576 nt
Organism: Ictidomys tridecemlineatus (thirteen-lined ground squirrel)
Lineage: Eukaryota; Metazoa; Chordata; Mammalia; Rodentia; Sciuridae
Source: RefSeq, a predicted model, not a curated record
UGUGCUCUGCCUGUUUGUGCCUUUCUCCUCCCAAUAUCUUCCAUUUAUCUAAAUAAAUAUUUGCUUACUACCCAAUCAUCUUAUGGAACACCCAUGACUUGCAAAAGAACUUUGGGAAACAAUGGUUGUGAUUACCAUGAACAAAUGGCUAGAGUCAUUCUAAAGAGAAAGAAGAAAUUUGCAUUCUGCUGAGAAAGAAUCAUUCUCUCUUCUAAGGAUGGCCUCACUGGUGGAAUGUACCACAGUUUAUUUAUCCAUUUACCUACUGAAGUAUAUCUUGAUUGACUCUUGAGACAGAUGAAAAUUAAAGAAAGUAGAGAAGAGAGUAGAGAAAUAAAGAAAUAAAAAGACAAUAUUCAAGAAUAUCUGCAGAACUGAAAACUUCGGAUUUAAGCAGCAACAGUUACCUCUAGAGUACUCUGUCCUGAGGACCUAAAACUGAAAUAGAAAGGAAAUGUCAAGUUCUGCCUGAACAGUGGUCUACUUUAUGCUUUGAAUAUAGGCCUUGCUGCUCUGCCACUGCAACUUAUUUUUAAAAUGGACGUGUUUCGUUUCUCUUCCUCUCUCCCUGCUCUU